CAGUAGCCACGGGAAUACGUAGGUGGCAAGCGUUGUCCGGAAUUAUUGGGCGUAAAGGGCUCGCAGGCGGUUUCUUAAGUCUGAUGUGAAAGCCCCCGGCUCAACCGGGGAGGGUCAUUGGAAACUGGGAAACUUGAGUGCAGAAGAGGAGAGUGGAAUUCCACGUGUAGCGGUGAAAUGCGUAGAGAUGUGGAGGAACACCAGUGGCGAAGGCGACUCUCUGGUCUGUAACUGACGCUGAGGAGCGGAAGCGUGGGGAGCGAACAGGAUUAGAUACCCCCGUAGUCCCUGUCUCUUAUAC
This 301-nucleotide ribosomal RNA is filed under the name uncultured bacterium. Its description in RNAcentral is "partial 16S ribosomal RNA". It matches the Rfam family "Bacterial small subunit ribosomal RNA", at positions 509 to 807 of the family's 1533-position model. The record is from RNAcentral.